ACGUACGGCCAUAGAUACUGGAAAGCACGGGAUCCCGUCCGCUCUCCCCUAGUUAAACCAGUAAUCGGCGGGAUUAGUAGUUGGGUCGGUGACGACCAGCGAAUACCCGCUGCUGUACGUU
This 121-nucleotide ribosomal RNA is filed under the name Grosmannia clavigera kw1407. The record is from RNAcentral. Lineage: Eukaryota; Fungi; Ascomycota; Sordariomycetes; Ophiostomatales; Ophiostomataceae.